GAUGAACGCUGGCGGCGUGCCUAAUACAUGCAAGUCGAGCGAACAGAUGAUGAUCUUGCUCCUCUGACGUUAGCGGCGGACGUGUGUGUAACACGUGUAUAACCUACCUAUAAGACUGGUAUAACUUCGGGAAACCGGAUCUAAUACCGGAUAAUAUAUUGAACCGCAUGGUUCAAUAGUGAAAGACGGUUUUGCUGUCUCUUAUAGAUGGAUCCGCGCUGCAUUAGCUAGUUGGUAAGGUAACGGCUUACCAAGGCGACGAUGCGUAGCCGACCUGAGAGGGUGAUCGGCCACACUGGAACGGAGACACGGACAAGACGCCUACGGGAGGGAGCAGUAGGGAAUGUGCCGCAAUGGGCGAAAGCAUGACGGAGCAACGCGGCGUGAGAGAUGAAGGUGUUCGGAUCGUAAAACUCUGUUAUUAGGGAAGAACAAAUGUGUAAGUAAAUAAGCACGGAUUGACGGUAACUAAUCAGAAAGCAACGGCUAACUACGUG
This 497-nucleotide ribosomal RNA is filed under the name uncultured bacterium. Its description in RNAcentral is "partial 16S ribosomal RNA". It matches the Rfam family "Bacterial small subunit ribosomal RNA", at positions 28 to 507 of the family's 1533-position model. The record is from RNAcentral.